RNAcentral lists this ribosomal RNA (470 nucleotides) under uncultured Alphaproteobacteria bacterium. Its description in RNAcentral is "bacterial SSU rRNA". It matches the Rfam family "Bacterial small subunit ribosomal RNA", at positions 1 to 524 of the family's 1533-position model. The record is from RNAcentral. Lineage: Bacteria; Pseudomonadati; Pseudomonadota; Alphaproteobacteria.
UAGAGUUUGAUCUGGCUCAGAACGAACGCUGGCGGCAUGCCUAACACAUGCAAGUCGAACGAAGGCUUCGGCCUUAGUGGCGCACGGGUGCGUAACGCGUGGGAAUCUGCCCUUAGGUUCGGAAUAACAGCUGGAAACGGCUGCUAAUACCGGAUGAUAUCGCGAGAUCAAAGAUUUAUCGCCUGAGGAUGAGCCCGCGUUGGAUUAGGUAGUUGGUGGGGUAAAGGCCUACCAAGCCGACGAUCCAUAGCUGGUCUGAGAGGAUGAUCAGCCACACUGGGACUGAGACACGGCCCAGACUCCUACGGGAGGCAGCAGUGGGGAAUAUUGGACAAUGGGCGAAAGCCUGAUCCAGCAAUGCCGCGUGAGUGAUGAAGGCCCUAGGGUUGUAAAGCUCUUUUACCCGGGAAGAUAAUGACUGUACCGGGAGAAUAAGCCCCGGCUAACUCCGUGCAAGCAGCCGCGGUAAU